UGUAAUAGCCUACCGUAGCUCGUUCUCAGAAGAAGAAGGAGCAGCUAAUAAACAUACAGCUGAGCAGCUGUACAGCACCCUGACUGCUUCACACUAAACACAAACACACACGUGGUCCAGACCAGAGACAGAGUGCAGGACUAAAGACUAAGACUUUAGCAUCAUUAGCAGCAGAUAUUAGAUAGAGAGCUCGUGCAUGAUCUGAGCUAGCCAGUUAACUAUACAUGUUUACAUGAGUUGUAGCUAGUGUUUUUUUUCUUUGUGCACAACACUGUGUGUCUCUACAGUCUAUUCAGAGGGUCCGGAUGGACUAUCACGGUAAAAAGUAUGAGCGCGGCAGUAACUGGUCCGAGCCAGAGGUGGUGGAGCUGCUCCAGGUGUGGUCGGACCAGUCGGUCCAAGCCGAGCUGGAGAGCUGUCUGCGGAACCAGCACGUCUUCAAGCGCAUCGCCGCGGCCCUGCACGGCAGAGGGGUGUACCGCACCGGAGACCAGUGCCGGGAGAAGAUCAAGAAGCUGAAGAUCGAGUACCGGCGGAUCAAAGAGAACCAGAAGCGAGCCCGCGGGUCUGGCAGAGCUUGGAAGUUCUACGAGGUGAUGGACCGGGUUCUCACCGGCCGGCCCGUGCAGCCACACAUGCUGCCCCAGCAGCAAGCCCUCCACCCUGGCUUACUGGUCUCCUGCAGCUCCGGCGCGGAGCCUUUCACCUUCACCCGCCUCCCCAACCCGGGAGAGCUGCUGGAGAUCAAGCGCGAGGAGCUGCACGCGGAGGACGAGCUGCUGAGCGCAGAGCACGCGCCGCCCGAGCUCAUCUACCACAUCGGGUCAGAGGACGAUGAGCACGAGCUCGAGAGCAAGUCUAUCGGGAUAGAAGCGGAGGAGCUGGGGACGGGAGACGUGGUCAGGGGGGAGGGACCUGCUGCUACUGCUACUUCUGCUGCUGCUGUUCUAGGGAGCAGUUCUCCUUCAGGUUUUAGUGACCACAACAUGGCUGGCUCUUCUGGUGCAGGCAUUUCCCCAGCAACAGCUUCCAUGGUGAUUGGAGAUGGAGCAAUGCAUGGUGAAAUGGAGAACCCUAAAAGUUCUGACUCAUUUCUCCAGAGGAAGCGGAGGAGGGCAGGUAGAGGGCUGGGAAGUGGGAGACUGUUGGAGAGAGCUUUGGCAGAUUUCCUGGGCUGGCAGCAGGUGAUGGAGGAGAGAUACCUGUCUUUGGAGGAGAUGAGGCUGCAGCAGGAGACGCGGGCAGAGGAGCGCAGGGGGCAGCAGGAGGAGAUACGGGCGCAGCGGGACCGGGAGCAUGAGCUGCGCCUGCUUUCUUUGUUCACGGAGGCUUUUACUGCAGCCAGAGGCAUAGCAGACACUGCCAACACCAGCGUUAGCACACUUCGUCCAGACCCUAUACCUGCUGCUCCCAAAACAGUGUCAGAACCAGCUUCUGUUUCUCCACCUCCCUCUUCUCCACCUCCAGAGCAGGAGCUUCACCCUGCCCCUUCAUCAGCCCCAUUUAAACCCACCAUGCUGAGGGGCCACCAGACCCCACAGAAUAGCCGUUACCUGUCCCGCAGAGGGAACUGUAUCCGGCAGCACCAGGGCAUCCUGCAGGAAGGAUACGCACAGUACCAAGCCAACAAGCAUGAUGAGUACAGCAACCCUAAUGGCAUAAUUAAUAUGGGAACGAGUGAGAACAAGCUGUGCUUUGACCUACUGCAGGAACGGCUGACCCGGCCAGACAUGCUCUACAUGGAGCCCUCCCUGCUGCAGUACUUCGACUGGAAGGGCCACAGCUUCCUGAGAGAGGAAGUGGCUGAGUUCCUGUCCGAACACUGCCUCUCUCCAAGCCCUCUGAAAGCAGAGAAUGUGGUUGUGAUGAACGGCUGUGGCUCUAUCUUCUGUGCCAUGGCAGCUGUGCUCUGUGAUCCUGAUGAUGCAAUCCUCAUCCCGACUCCAUUUUAUGGCGCUAUCACAGAGGAUGUUGAUUUGUACAGUGGUGUGAAACUCUACUGUGUUCCUCUUGACAGUAAGGCCAGUGAAGAUGAUGACAGGCCCUUCCAGCUCACUGCUGCAAAACUGGAGCAUGCUCUUGAGAAGGCAAAGAAAGAGGGGGUGAAUGUUAAAGCUGUCAUCUUGGUUAACCCUCACAAUCCUUUGGGAGAUGUCUACACGGCUGAAGAGAUGACCAGCUUUCUGAAGUUUGCCAAAAAGCAUGAGCUGCACGCUAUAGUGGACGAGGUCUACAUGCUGUCAGUGUUUGAUGAGGAUCAACCUUUUCACAGUGUUCUCAGUCUGGAGAGGUUACCAGAUGUUCAGAGGACUCAUGUUCUUUGGGGCCUUAGCAAGGACUUUGCGAUGGCAGGUCUGCGUGUGGGUACACUGUACUCGGAGAACAGGGAUUUGGUGCAUGCUCUGGAGCAGCUGGGCUGCUUUCAUGGAGUUUCAGGACCCACACAGCUUCAGGUUGCUCAGCUGCUGAAAGACAGAGAGUGGAUGAAUGAGACAUUUUACCCAGAAAACAUACGCAGGCUGAAGGAAGCGCAUCAGUAUGUGGCGUCUGAGCUGAAGAAGCUCGGCAUUCCUUACCUGCACAGAGGCUCAGGCUUCUAUAUCUGGGCCGACUUCAGCAAGUAUCUAAAGGAACGCACGUUUGUGGAGGAGCUCUGCAUGUGGAGGUGUUUUCUGAAGCACAGAGUGCUGCUGAGCUGUGGACAGGCCUUCAGCUGCUCCUCUCCAGGCUGGUUCCGGAUUAUCUUCUCUGACCAGCGGCACCGACUCCAGCCGGGUCUGAAGAGAAUCAGUGCGGCGUUAGAGGAGCUCCGGGGCUCCAAAGCCCUCCCCAGGUGUGAGAACUCAAAAGAGGACAAACAGAAGAGCCACAGACAAACACAGAACAGUGCAGAGAAAGAGGGCAAAACAGAGAAAGAAAGUACAGCCAACAACUCCUGUACGCCAACAAAAGGGCAUUGUGAGGGGACUGGUGCUGAGGCUGGAAGCCUAUCAUUGGCUGAUGAGGACACUGUGGUCAUCAACUGCCAAUCUUCUUCUACCUCAGAAAGCCUGGACUCGCUCAUUGGUACACUAAGGCAACAGAUCCAGUCGUCUGAUUGGCUGGAGAAAAACAGGCCGGAGCUUGGUGCUGAAGAGGACCCAACCCAGCUGGACGUUUUUAAGGACCUGUUGGACAGGGCCAGGAUGUAAUGGCACGUUAAAAAGGGCAGAAUUCUCAGUACCAAGGCCAGUGGUUUUCAGUUCUUUAUACUCUGGAGAUGCACAGUAGCGCAGCGUGAACAGGAAGUAAGAGUGAGCGUGCAGGAUUUGCUUUGAGCCCACUGGGGUGGCGGAGUGACGAGUGGGCUCCACUUUCCUGUGUAGGUACCUGUUGCCAUGACGACAGAGCAACCUCAUGUCACCGCAGCAAAGCGUUGUGGCCUCCGUCCUUAACCCUUCCACCCCUGCUCUCAUAAAGACGCAUGACAUCACUGCCUGAGUGUGAGAAUGACAGGCGCACUGUUAGAGCGUAGGUCGCGUUAUUUAUAGACAGAUAGGUUACACAGAUUAGCCUCAAUGUGUGUCCAGGGAUGACACAGAUUGUGAAAACAGACAGUGUGUCCAGAUGUUCCAUUACAGUGUGUUCUAAUUACACAGACUAUGUCAGAGAUAUAUAUAUACAGUGGUGUGCUGUAGUGGGCUAACAUCAAGUGUGUUUAAAUACAUCUUUAAAAAUCUUUAGAGAGAUUUGUUAAGGCUUAUUAUGUUUAAUAUAAGACUAUUUAUGGUUCAGUUUGCUUGGACUGAAAUAGAUUUCCUUUAUAUAGUGAUGUGUAUUGUUUGUUUUUUAGUGAUUAUAAUCAUAUUUUUAGGGGAACUAAGGUACAAUCAGGGUUAAUUAAGUGCUACACUAACAUGUCAUAGGGGAGAAGCAUCAUUCUGCAGUGUCCCUUGAGUUUUGCUGUGUCCUAUGAAAGCUUAAGAACGCUGCACUAUCCAUGUGGUGCCUCCUGCAUUGAUUUUGGAUUUAAUUUCUGUUUGUACAGACAAGACUAGCCAGAUCUUACUGGUUGCGAUCAUUACCAUCCAGUACGCUGUCCACUCUGGGUGGUAAUGCCUUCUAUGAUGCAUUACUAGUACAUAUGUUACAGUGUAACACUGUGGAUGAAGAAAUGUUAAAUGUCCACACAGUUUCAGAAAUGGAAAAUACCAUCCAUCUUUCACGCACUUCACAUCAGGCUUUGCUCAAGCUCUAAUAAUACACAUCGCCUUGCCGUGCCUCACUCACAAGAUAACACAUCACAACUUAUACAAGCCUUUCCCUAAGGUAUCGUAUUUUUCGUACUAUAAGGAACACAGAUUAUAAGGCUCACUUUCAAUAAACGUCUAUUUUCUGGUCUAUUAUUCUGCCAGGGCGAUAUUAGCGAGCGGUUCGGCCCACAUAGCUUGUUUUUUAACACAGAAAAUGCGUAGGCUACAGUCCAAAAUACUCACCUCUAAAAGAGCUAGCGCUUAGCGUGGUUAGAUGGUAAUGCUAAUAUUGCUCCAGCAGUGCUAGCCAGGGUUAGCAGCAGGCUACAGAUUGAUAAUAAUACUCACCUCUGGACGGCCAAAGCCAGCUAAAGCUAGGGCUUAGCGUGUUUACAAGCUAAAGCUAAUACUGCUGGAGACUAAACUGAAACUCCUUUAUAAAGCUGUACUUCAGCAGAGUGGCUUCACUGCUCCUUACAACCUGACUGGUAAAAUUCAUACAUAAGGUCCACCAGAUUAUAAGGCGCACUGAUGAUUUUUGGGAAAUUUAAAGGAUUUUAAUUGUGCCUUAUAGUGGAAAAAUGCGUUAACUCUUAAUGAUCAAUUUACUACUAUACUGCUAUACUGCUUUCUUAUUACUGUAUAUCUGGAAUGUCAGUGUGUAUCUUUAAAGGAAUUAAAGUACAGUAAGGGAUAAGUAAGUGCUGGUUUGCAAAUGACUUCUCAAAUUAUUAGAAUUUGGGAUGUGUAAGCUUAAGCUUAUUAUAACCACAUAUAAAACCAGAGUAAAGGUCAAACAUGGCGCACAAAAGUUAAUGUUUUUAAUGGCAGAACUGAACCAGGACCUCAGAUUAGAUUGGCUUCCAAUCGUAUGCCUUGUUCUUGAGAGAUAAAGAAGAGUUAAAGAGACAUAAAGAGAGAGCGAGAGGGAGAAGCCAGACUCCUGGAGUAUUAUGGAAUCAGCAUUAAAGCCUUAUCAAGACUGAGGGGAACAGACUGUUCUGCUUCCUGAUGCUAUAAGGGUUUUUAUUUGUUAUUCCAAUAAUGCUCUAUUUUUUUCAAUUGUACUAUUCAGUCAUACUAAAAGAGCCAUGCAAUGCAUUUAUACAGGAUUUUAAGUUGUCUUUUGAUGUGCAAAUGGUAUGUAUGUAUGUGGAGCAAAAAUGCUACAAAAUCCCUAUUCAUUUACCUCAAUAAUUUACUUAAUUUUUUUUCUUGGUGGGUGUGAAUUUUAAAAAAAGGGAAGCUCUGUUUCAUUAGCAGAGGAGCUAUGUAGCAAAGCAUAGCGAGAACAUUGUUGUACAUGUGCAGUGUAUACAGUAAUUAUUUUUUGUAAUAAUUCUAUCGGAAAGCACUGCUGUCCUAAUGAACAGUGUUUGAUGUCCAUGGUUUGUCACUUUUAUCUUAUUUUAGGGAUUAAUUAUUUAGCUAUGCCAAGAUAAACAUAGUUUUUCAUUAUAGGACACUUCUGUUAAGGACAUUUUUUGAUUUUUGGGUAUUCUUCUAUUUUGUUUUGUUUCUUCUUUUUUGUGUAUAUGUUUUUGUUUUCAUUUUAUGUUUUUGGUCUUUAUUUGAUUAUUGUAUUAAUAAAUUUGCCAAAAACAUUAACAAACUUUUGGGCUAC
Molecule: RNA transcript, 5856 nt
Organism: Astyanax mexicanus (Mexican tetra)
Lineage: Eukaryota; Metazoa; Chordata; Actinopteri; Characiformes; Acestrorhamphidae
Gene: accs
Gene name: 1-aminocyclopropane-1-carboxylate synthase homolog (Arabidopsis)(non-functional)
Exons: 16
Source: RefSeq, a predicted model, not a curated record